RNAcentral lists this ribosomal RNA (261 nucleotides) under uncultured archaeon. RNAcentral describes it as "partial 16S ribosomal RNA". It matches the Rfam family "Archaeal small subunit ribosomal RNA", at positions 748 to 1009 of the family's 1478-position model. The record is from RNAcentral.
CAGCCGUAAACUAUGCUCGCUAGGUGUCAGGCAUGGCGCGACCGUGUCUGGUGCCGCAGGGAAGCCGUGAAGCGAGCCACCUGGGAAGUACGGCCGCAAGGCUGAAACUUAAAGGAAUUGGCGGGGGAGCACAACAACGGGUGGAGCCUGCGGUUUAAUUGGACUCAACGCCGGACAACUCACCAGGGACGACAGCAAUAUGUAGGCCAGGCUGAAGACCUUGCCUGAAUCGCUGAGAGGAGGUGCAUGGCGUAGACGUCU